Molecule: ribosomal RNA, 494 nt
Filed under: uncultured bacterium
Lineage: Bacteria
Description: partial 16S ribosomal RNA
Rfam family: Bacterial small subunit ribosomal RNA
Source: RNAcentral
GAUGAACGCUGGCGGCGUGCCUAAUACAUGCAAGUCGAGCGAACAGACGAGGAGCUUGCUCCUCUGACGUUAGCGGCGGACGGGUGAGUAACACGUGGAUAACCUACCUAUAAGACUGGGAUAACUUCGGGAAACCGGAGCUAAUACCGGAUAAUAUAUUGAACCGCAUGGUUCAAUAGUGAAAGACGGUUUUGCUGUCACUUAUAGAUGGAUCCGCGCCGCAUUAGCUAGUUGGUAAGGUAACGGCUUACCAAGGCAACGAUGCGUAGCCGACCUGAGAGGGUGAUCGGCCACACUGGAACGGAGACACGGUCAAGACUCCUACGGGAGGCAGCAGUAGGGAAUCUUCCGCAAGGGGCGAAAGCUUGACGGAGCAACGCCGCGUGAGUGAUGAAGGUCUUCGGAUCGUAAAACUCUGUUAUUAGGGAAGAACAAAUGUGUAAGUAACUAUGCACGUCUUGACGGUACCUAAUCAGAGAGCACGGCUAACUACG